GCGCCCGUAGCUCAACUGGAUAGAGCAUUGGUCUUCGGAACCAAGGGUUGGGGGUUCAAAUCCCUCCGGGCGUACCA
This 77-nucleotide transfer RNA is filed under the name Verrucomicrobiota bacterium. RNAcentral's name for it is "Verrucomicrobia bacterium (hot springs metagenome) tRNA-Arg". It matches the Rfam family "tRNA". From Rfam's summary of the family: Transfer RNA (tRNA) molecules are approximately 80 nucleotides in length. Their secondary structure includes four short double-helical elements and three loops (D, anti-codon, and T loops). The record is from RNAcentral. Lineage: Bacteria; Pseudomonadati; Verrucomicrobiota.